AUCUAGCUGAUGAGUUCUAAAUAGGAUGAAAUGCGUGUCAAACUUGAU
Non-coding RNA from Schistosoma curassoni, 48 nucleotides. The record is from Rfam. Lineage: Eukaryota; Metazoa; Platyhelminthes; Trematoda; Strigeidida; Schistosomatidae.